This 858-nucleotide long non-coding RNA is filed under the name Homo sapiens (human). Its description in RNAcentral is "HSALNT0164005". Lineage: Eukaryota; Metazoa; Chordata; Mammalia; Primates; Hominidae. The record is from RNAcentral.
CCUGUUUGACCCCCUCCCCAGAUUCUGUCCAGGAAACUUCAUGUUCGGUAGAAAUUGUUAUAAAAUUCAACUGGAAGUUUUCCUCUCCCUCUGGUUUUUCCUCAAUUCCACUGGCAGCCCUCCCCAAGUUGCAAGAUAAAGACAGAAAAGGCUUCCCUGAGGACUGAGAGUGCCCACAGGGCUCUUGCUGCUGCUUUCUCUACCCCUAUAUUUUGUGCGGCUCUCAGCAUUUGUCUCAGCUCCACACCAAGGGGACUCUGCAUGGGCACAUCCCGGCCCUCCUCCCUGCAUGUUCUCCAAGCCAGGUCUUUGAAACCUCCAGUGAUGGGAAUGACAGAAUCUGGGAUGAUUUUCUUCUGUUUCUUAUCUAAAAAAACAACAAAAAGCUCAGCAUACACGGACUCACACAAACCUUUUGCUAGAGGCAGCUCUGUAGACUUAAGACGCUGUCAUUUUUCAGAAGAACCCAGCUUGCUUUGGAACUACAGUCAGCCCUGCAACCCACCCUCACCUUGGACCCUGCUGCUGCUGUCUGUAAAGGGUCUGGAUGAAGGAAGGGAGCCUCCAGCUUGUCGGCUGUACUUGCCCAGAAUUUAGCCUUUGCAACAUGGAGCUGCGGGGAUGGGAAAGACAAUGCUGCGAUGAAUACACCUGUGCAUUCUUUUUUAGAACAAGUGUAAGAAUUCCUAUGUGGUAAGUCUGUUUAAAGAGAAUUUCAGAUUCACGUGUAGAUGUGUUAAGUUUGAGCGAUGUUGCCAAACUCUCUUGAACUUAUACCCUCUGUAAUAAUAUAUUGGGAUAUUUGUUUCCUUUUGUUCUUGUCAGUUUUCAUACUAUAAAACUUAAACAUGUUUGACA